CGCACAUUGCGCUCUUUGGUAUUCCGAAGAGCACAUCUGUUCGAGCGUCAUUACACCAAUCAAACUUGUGUUUGGAAUUGAAUGUAAUCAUGAGAAUUGAUACGUUCCAAAGUCAUCAGCAGUACCGUUCGGUCUCAAAUGUCGUUAUAUCAAUCAUUUGUCAGACUUGAAAGGUCUCUUGCUUUGCUCUUAAACUCUUCAGUUUGACCUCGAAUCAGAUGGGGAUACCCGCUGAACUUAA
Molecule: unclassified non-coding RNA, 241 nt
Filed under: Lobulomyces angularis
Lineage: Eukaryota; Fungi; Chytridiomycota; Chytridiomycetes; Lobulomycetales; Lobulomycetaceae
Description: partial contains 5.8S ribosomal RNA, internal transcribed spacer 2, and large subunit ribosomal RNA
Source: RNAcentral